This is a long non-coding RNA of Astatotilapia calliptera (eastern happy), 2324 nucleotides long. The record is from Ensembl. NCBI's taxonomy places the organism in Eukaryota, Metazoa, Chordata, Actinopteri, Cichliformes, Cichlidae.
AGCCAGGGCAACAAUGGAAUGGUUUAAAACAAAACAUAUCCAUGUGUUAGACUGGCCCAGUCAAAGUCCAGAUCUAAAUCCAAUCGAGAAUAUGUGGCAAAAUCUGAAAACUGCUGUUCACAAACGCUGUCCAUCUAAUCUGAGCUGGAGCUGUUUUGCAAAGAAGAAUGGGCAAAGAUUUCAGUCUCUAGAUGUGCAAAGCUGGUAGAGACAUGCCCUAAAAGACUGGCAGCUGUAAUUGCAGCAAAAGGUGGUUCUACAAAGUAUUGACUCAGGAGGCUGAAUAAUUACGCACACCCCACUUUGCAGUUAUUUAUUUGUGAAAAAUGUUUGGAAUCAUGUAUGAUUUUCGUUCCACUUCUCACGUGUACACCACUUUGUGUUGGUCUUUCACGUGGAAUUCCAUUAAAAUUGAUUCAUGUUUGUGGCUGUGAUGUGACAAAAUGUGGGAAAAUUCAAGGGGGCCGAAUACUUUUGCAAGCCACUGUAGAAACACAAAUUAACCUAACAUGCAUGUCUCUGAAACCUGUGCAAACAGAAAUGUGAAUUUAAACUGUGUAGUUUGAAUUCACAUCCAGUUGCAGAUAUGAGACAUCUACAAGCUCGUUUUUAACAAAAAUCAACUAACGUGGAACUAUUUUAGGCUCUGAGUGACUCUGACUAAAAGAGAAUGAGCCAUUCUGAAGUGGACCUAAUCUGCUCCUUUCCAUCUCUGCAUUUUUGCUACUUUGAACUCUACUAAAGUAGCUUUGCACUAUUCACUACUGAAAAAAAAUAGCUUGCUUCUCUCCCUAUAAGAGAAAUUUGUUUUGAUUGGCUGUCUCUCACAAAUAGAAGUUUUGAUCAACAGGUAGGAGGUGCUUCUGGGCUGCUGUGACCAUAUUAUCACUAUCCCUCUGUCACUGACAUCAUACUUAGCUGCAGGCAGGUUUUUCCCCACUCUCGUUGUUUAGAGAAGUCUGAGGCCUGAGCUCACGGGAAUUACUGGAAACUGCAUUUAUCCUGCAUGAAGAGUAGAUUAUUAACUGGUGAGUUUUUCUAAAUCUCCUCUUGGACACAAAUUUACCCCUUCAUGAUCUUAUUACACUUAGAUUCAAAUCAAAUUCAAAUUUUAUUUGUCACGUACACAGUCAUACACAGUACGAUAUGCAGUGAAAUGCUUAGACAACUGCUCGUGACCUAAAGGGGAAAAAAAGGAAAAGGCUAUGAAUAAGAUAGGAAAUAAAUAUGAAAAAUUAAAAAGGGUAAAUUUAAAUAAGGAAGGAAUAAAAUAUAAAUUAAGGUUAAAAAUGAAAUAACUGUACAACACAAAUUAGAAUGAAGGGUAAAUUUAACUGGGAAAGAAUAAGAUAAAAUAUAUAAAUUAAAUUAAAGUUGAAAAUAAAUUAACUGUACAACAAAAUACACAAUACACAGUAUAGAACUAUAUAAGAAUGUAUGAAGAAAUAUAAAUAAAUAAAUAAAUAUAUACACAAUAACAGCAGCUGUACAAGUAUUAACUGGAAAUGAAGAAUAUAGUGACCAGUGUUGUGCAAUCCACAUUAUGUCUUGUGCAGUGCAAAUAUGCUUAAAGUGAUUUGGAAGAUUCUUGGUGUAGGUGAUCACUGAGCUCAGGUUUCUCUUAAUUUUCAUGAAAGUUUUGUCGCAUCCAAUUUGAUCAAAUCUUUAUGACCACAGACAAACAGUGAGAUGACUGGACAGAUGCGGGUAUAGGCUGAAUAUCUAUGAUAAAGAAACGGGUGAGGCAACUUCAAGUUGUAUAGGAAGGGGAAAAAACGAUCCUAAUGUAACUAUAGAUCUAUUAUACGGGUUCAUAUCCUUGACACUUUGACCUUGACCUGAGGCAUCUCAGCAUCCAAGUGAUUUCUGUUAUUUUAGUUACGUUUUCAGGGAUUCCUUGACUCCAUAUUAAAUCUUCCUUCAAAAUAAGAUAGUGUGAAACCGAAAAGAACCAAAUUUCUUUUUCCAUCACUGAAUGAUUUUUUUUUUUUAGUAAAAGUAAUUUAUUUUUAUUGAUUUUUUUUUUGCAUAUUUAGAAAAAAAUCCUGUAAUUUUUUGUGCCACACUCCAAAGAGGAAACUUUUCAACAGAACAUCUAAUGAGCAAAUAAACGGGUUUUAAGAUGUCGGACUUUGUGUUUUGUUGUUAGUUUUGAUGAAUUCAGGUGUUUUGUUUUCUGGGUGGGAAGAAAGUCAUGAUGUGUAUCUACUAUCAUUAAAGAACUGUAGAUUACAGUUUAAUUAUCUAUUAAUUUAGAGUAACUUUACCAUUAAACAAUGAAAUGGUGAUUACAUGUUUUCUAACUAAUAAUGAUGCAAUUUGCU